GAUGAACGCUGGCGGCGUGCCUAAUACAUGCAAGUCGAGCGAACAGACGAGGAGCUUGCUCCUCUGACGUUAGCGGCGGACGGGUGAGUAACACGUGGAUAACCUACCUAUAAGACUGGGAUAACUUCGGGAAACCGGAGCUAAUACCGUAUAAUAUAUUGAACCGCAUGGUUCAAUAGUGAAAGACGGUUUUGCUGUCACUUAUAGAUGGAUCCGCGCCUCAUUAGCUAGUUGGUAAGGUAACGGCUUACCAAGGCAACGAUGCGUAGCCGACCUGAGAGGGUGAUCGGCCACACUGGAACUGAGACAAGGUCCAGACUCCUACGGGAGGCAGCAGUAGGGAAUCUUCCGCAAUGGGCGAAAGCCUGACGGAGCAACGCCGCGUGAGUGAUGAAGGUCUUCGGAUCGUAAAACUCUGUUAUUAGGGAAGAACAAAUGUGUAAGUAACUAUGCACGUCUUGACGGUACAUAAUCAGAAAGCCACGGCUAACUACGUG
Molecule: ribosomal RNA, 497 nt
Filed under: uncultured bacterium
Lineage: Bacteria
Description: partial 16S ribosomal RNA
Rfam family: Bacterial small subunit ribosomal RNA
Source: RNAcentral